UACGAAGGGGGCUAGCGUUGCUCGGAAUCACUGGGCGUAAAGGGUGCGUAAGCGGGUCUUUAAGUCAGGGGUGAAAUCCUGGAGCUCAACUCCAGAACUGCCUUUGAUACUGAGGAUCUUGAGUUCGGGAGAGGUGAGUGGAACUGCGAGUGUAGAGGUGAAAUUCGUAGAUAUUCGCAAGAACACCAGUGGCGAAGGCGGCUCACUGGCCCGAUACUGACGCUGAGGCACGAAAGCGUGGGGAGCAAACAGG
This 253-nucleotide ribosomal RNA is filed under the name uncultured bacterium. RNAcentral describes it as "partial 16S ribosomal RNA". It matches the Rfam family "Bacterial small subunit ribosomal RNA", at positions 524 to 776 of the family's 1533-position model. The record is from RNAcentral.